RNAcentral lists this ribosomal RNA (812 nucleotides) under uncultured Alphaproteobacteria bacterium. RNAcentral describes it as "bacterial SSU rRNA". It matches the Rfam family "Bacterial small subunit ribosomal RNA", at positions 33 to 884 of the family's 1533-position model. The record is from RNAcentral. Lineage: Bacteria; Pseudomonadati; Pseudomonadota; Alphaproteobacteria.
ACGCUUGCUGCAUGCUUUAUACAUGCAAGUCGAACGAAGGCCCUAGCUUGCUAGGUGUCCUUAGUGGCGCACGGGUGAGUAACACGUGGGAACAUACCUCAUAGUACGGAAUAACUGCGGGAAACUGUAGCUAAUACCGUAUAUUCCAGAAAUGGGAAAGAUUUAUCGCUAUGAGAUUGGCCCGCGCAAGAUUAGUUUGUUGGUAAGGUAAUGGCUUACCAAGGCUACGAUCUUUAGCUGGUUUGAGAGGAUGAUCAGCCACACUGGGACUGAGACACGGCCCAGACUCCUACGGGAGGCAGCAGUAGGGAAUAUUGGACAAUGGGGGCAACCCUGAUCCAGCAAUGCAGCGUGAGUGACGAAGGCCUUAGGGUUGUAAAACUCUUUCAUCGGUGAGGAUAAUGACAGUAGCCGAAGAAGAAGGACCGGCUAAUUCCGUGCCAGCAGCCGCGGUAAUACGGAAGGUCCUAGCGUUGUUCGGAAUUACUGGGCGUAAAGCGCAUGUAGGCGGAACAGAAAGUUAGAAGUGAAAUCCCUGGGCUCAACCUAGGAAUUGCUUUUAAAACUUCUGUUCUGGAAUUCAGGAGAGGAAAAUGGAAUUUCCAGUGUAGAGGUGAAAUUCGUAGAUAUUGGAAGGAACACCAGUGGCGAAGGCGAUUUUCUGGACUGAUAUUGACGCUGAGAUGCGAAGGCAUGGGUAGCAAACGGGAUUAGAUACCCCGGUAGUCCAUGCAGUAAACGAUGGGUGCUAGUCGUCGGACUUAUGUUCGGUGUCGUAGCUAACGCGUUAAGCACCCCGCCUGGGGAGUACG